This 492-nucleotide ribosomal RNA is filed under the name uncultured bacterium. Its description in RNAcentral is "partial 16S ribosomal RNA". It matches the Rfam family "Bacterial small subunit ribosomal RNA", at positions 29 to 507 of the family's 1533-position model. The record is from RNAcentral.
AGUGAACGCUGGCGGUAGGCCUAACACAUGCAAGUCGAACGGCAGCACAGUAAGAGCUUGCUCUUACGGGUGGCGAGUGGCGGACGGGUGAGGAAUACAUCGGAAUCUACUUUUUCGUGGGUGAUAACGUAGGGACACUUACGCUAAUACCGCAUACGACCUACGGGUGAAAGCAGGGGAUCUUCGGACCUUUCGCGAUUGAAUGAGCCGAUGUCGGAUUAGCUAGUUGGCGGGGUAAAGGCCCACCAAGGCGACGAUCCGUAGCUGGUCUGAGAGGAUGAUCAGCCAAACUGGAACUGAGACACGGUCCAGACUCCUAAGGGAGGCAGCAGUGGGGAAUAUUGGACAAUGGGCGCAAGCCUGAUCCAGCCAUACCGCGUGGGUGAAGAAGGCCUUCGGGUUGUAAAGCCCUUUUGUUGGGAAAGAAAAGCAGCAGGUUAAUACCCCGCUGUUCUGACGGUACCCAAAGAAUAAGCACCGGCUAAAUUCGUG